This 271-nucleotide ribosomal RNA is filed under the name uncultured bacterium. RNAcentral describes it as "partial 16S ribosomal RNA". The record is from RNAcentral.
CUGCUGCCUCCCGUAGGAGUCUGGUCCGUGUCUCAGUACCAGUGUGGGGGACCUUCCUCUCAGAACCCCUACGCAUCGUCGCCUUGGUGGGCCGUUACCCCGCCAACAAGCUAAUGCGACGCAUGACCAUCCGUAGCCGGAAUCGCUUCCUUUAAACCCACAGAGAUGCCUCCAUGGGUUGUUACGCGGUAUUAGACGGAAUUUCUUCCGCUUAUCCCCCUGCUACGGGCAGGUUUCAUACGUGUUACUCACCCGUGCGCCGGUCGCCGGG